UCCGGUUGAUCCUGCCGGAGGCCAUUGCUAUCGGGGUCCGAUUUAGCCAUGCUAGUCGCACGGGUUCAGACCCGUGGCGAAUAGCUCCGUAACACGUGGCCAACCCACCCUAUGGAAGACCAUACCCUCGGGAAACUGAGGUUAAUAGUCUAUACCCGUCCACACCUGGAAUGCGUGGACGCACAAACGCUCCGGCGCCAUAGGAUGGGGCUGCGGCCGAUUAGGUAGACGGUGGGGUAACGGCCCACCAUGCCCAUAAUCGGUACAGGUUGUGACAGCAAGAGCCUGGAGACGGUAUCUGAGACAAGAUACCGGGCCCUACGGGGCGCAGCAGGCGCGAAACCUUUACACUGCACGAGAGUGCGAUAGGGGGACUCCGAGUGCGAGGGCAUAUAGUCCUCGCUUUUCUGUACCGUAAGGUGGUACAGGAACAAGGACUGGGCAAGACCGGUGCCAGCCGCCGCGGUAAUACCGGCAGUCCAAGUGAUGGCCGAUAUUAUUGGGCCUAAAGCGUCCGUAGCUUGCUGUGUAAGUCCAUUGGGAAAUCGACGCGCUCAACGCGUCGGCGUCCGGUGGAAACUACACGGCUUGGGGCCGAGAGACUCGACGGGUACGUCCGGGGUAGGAGUGAAAUCCUGUAAUCCUGGACGGACCACCAAUGGCGAAAGCACGUCGAGAGACCGGACCCGACAGUGAGGGACGAAAGCCAGGGUCUCGAACCGGAUUAGAUACCCGGGUAGUCCUGGCUGUAAACAAUGCUCGCUAGGUAUGUCACGCACCAUGAGUGCGUGAUGUGCCGUAGUGAAGACGAUAAGCGAGCCGCCUGGGAAGUACGUCCGCAAGGAUGAAACUUAAAGGAAUUGGCGGGGGAGCA
RNAcentral lists this ribosomal RNA (874 nucleotides) under uncultured Haloarcula sp. RNAcentral describes it as "bacterial SSU rRNA". It matches the Rfam family "Archaeal small subunit ribosomal RNA", at positions 1 to 878 of the family's 1478-position model. The record is from RNAcentral. Lineage: Archaea; Methanobacteriati; Methanobacteriota; Halobacteria; Halobacteriales; Haloarculaceae.